This 923-nucleotide small RNA is filed under the name uncultured Acidimicrobiales bacterium. RNAcentral describes it as "bacterial SSU rRNA". The stretch from base 1 to 492 matches the Rfam family "Bacterial small subunit ribosomal RNA", at positions 1045 to 1533 of the family's 1533-position model. Lineage: Bacteria; Bacillati; Actinomycetota; Acidimicrobiia; Acidimicrobiales. The record is from RNAcentral.
AUGGCUGUCGUCAGCUCGUGUCGUGAGAUGUUGGGUUAAGUCCCGCAACGAGCGCAACCCUUGUCCUAUGUUGCCAGCACGUAAUGGUGGGGACUCGUAGGAGACUGCCGGGGUCAACUCGGAGGAAGGUGGGGACGACGUCAAGUCAUCAUGCCCCUUAUGUCCAGGGCUGCAAACAUGCUACAAUGGCCGGUACAAAGGGCUGCUAUACCGCGAGGUGGAGCGAAUCCCAAAAAGCCGGUCUCAGUUCGGAUUGGAGUCUGCAACUCGACUCCAUGAAGUCGGAGUCGCUAGUAAUCCCGGAUCAGCAACGCCGGGGUGAAUACGUUCCCGGGCCUUGUACACACCGCCCGUCACACCACGAAAGUUGGCAACACCCGAAGCCAGUGGCCCAACCCUUUUGGGAGGGAGCUGUCGAAGGUGGGGUCAGCGAUUGGGGUGAAGUCGUAACAAGGUAGCCGUACCGGAAGGUGCGGCUGGAUCACCUCCUUUCUAAGGAGAGCUUGUCCAAGCCAAGCCGGCAUUCCGCCGGUAUGAGCGAGGCAAGUCCUUACCAGUUGACACACUGGCUAUUCGGUCACGGAUCAGUGCAAUCGGUUGUAGACCUCGGUCUCCCCUUUGCUCAGUGAAGCGGCCGUCAUCCUCUAUUCCGUUUUGAGGGAGUUCCUCCCUCGGCGGUCAACCCGAACUUUGACCCAUGCGGCGCAGCGAUGCGCCGCAUGUGUCGUUUCUGUUCGAAGCACCGCCAGUGACCUUUGAGAACUGCAUAGCGAGCACGAGCAUCUUUGUUAUCUCAAGCUACAAAGAGCCAACGGUGGAUGCCUAGGCGUCUACGACCGAUGAAGGACGUGGGUGACUGCGAAAAGUCACGGGGAGCUGUCGACCAAGCUUUGAUCCGUGAAUGUCCGAAUGGGGAAACCCGG